Molecule: ribosomal RNA, 612 nt
Filed under: Triticum aestivum (bread wheat)
Lineage: Eukaryota; Viridiplantae; Streptophyta; Magnoliopsida; Poales; Poaceae
Description: partial small subunit ribosomal RNA
Source: RNAcentral
AUGCUCCAGUAUGUGGAUUUAUGGCGCAGGCUCCGGUCCAUCGAUCUUACCACGGAGCCCGACAUCAUCCGCUGGAAGUGGACGGAACAUGGCGAGUACUCUGCUGCCUCCUGCUACAAUGCUCUUUUCAUAGGUUCCACGGCGUCCGAGCACUGGCGCAUUGUUUGGAAAACCGGCGCCCCCCUCUCGGUCAAGUUCUUCACCUACCUUGCAUCCGUCAAUCGCUGCUGGACGGCGGACCGGCUCUCUCGCCGCGGGCUCCCGCAUGAACCGGCCUGUGUGUCGUGCUCGCAGCAGGCCGAGACCCUGCACCAUAUCCUUGUCGAGUGUGUUUUUGCCCGCACCAUCUGGCAGGGCAUCCUCUCCUGGUGUUGUCCCACAGCCGCGGUUCCGGAUGGCACGCUUGGGUUCUUCGACUGGCUGAGUGAGACCCUUCCUCUGAUGACUGCCGACAAGCGUCGUGGGAUCUCCACCAUUGCGGUGCUUACGGCUUGGUCUCUUUGGCGCCAUCGUAAUGUUGUGAUCUUCGACAAGAUAGCUCCCUCCUCCACCUCUCUCCUAGCGGCAAUUCAAGAGGCACGCUCCUGGAGCCAAGCACCAUUAUCCCUGUAA